GACGAACCGUGCGAACGUUGUUCGGAAUCACUGGGCUUAAAGGGCGCGUAGGCGGUCGACCAAGUCCGGGGUGAAAUCUUUCGGCUUAACCGGAAAAGUGCCUUGGAUACUGGCCGGCUGGAGGGAGGUAGGGGCAGGUGGAACUUCCAGUGGAGCGGUGAAAUGCGUUGAUAUUGGAAGGAACGCCGGUGGCGAAAGCGACCUGCUGGACCUCUUCUGACGCUGAGGCGCGAAAGCUAGGGGAGCAAACGGG
RNAcentral lists this ribosomal RNA (253 nucleotides) under uncultured bacterium. Its description in RNAcentral is "partial 16S ribosomal RNA". It matches the Rfam family "Bacterial small subunit ribosomal RNA", at positions 524 to 776 of the family's 1533-position model. The record is from RNAcentral.